UUUUGGGUGCGGUGUAUAUCACCA
This 24-nucleotide non-coding RNA is filed under the name Arabidopsis thaliana (thale cress). The record is from RNAcentral. Lineage: Eukaryota; Viridiplantae; Streptophyta; Magnoliopsida; Brassicales; Brassicaceae.